RNAcentral lists this ribosomal RNA (229 nucleotides) under uncultured bacterium. RNAcentral's name for it is "partial 16S ribosomal RNA". It matches the Rfam family "Bacterial small subunit ribosomal RNA", at positions 118 to 347 of the family's 1533-position model. The record is from RNAcentral.
UGGGCAACCUGCCCCUCUCUCUGGGAUAACCCCGGGAAACCGGAGCUAAUACCGGAUACUCCGGUCGAACCGCAUGGCUCGAUCGGGAAAGCUCCGACGGUCUGGGAUGGGCCCGCGGCCUAUCAGCUUGUUGGUGGGGUAACGGCCUACCAAGGCGACGACGGGUAGCUGGUCUGAGAGGACGACCAGCCACACUGGAACUGAGAUACGGUCCAGACUCCUACGGGAG